This 460-nucleotide ribosomal RNA is filed under the name uncultured bacterium. RNAcentral describes it as "partial 16S ribosomal RNA". It matches the Rfam family "Bacterial small subunit ribosomal RNA", at positions 338 to 795 of the family's 1533-position model. The record is from RNAcentral.
CCUACGGGUGGCAGCAGUGAGGAAUAUUGGUCAAUGGACGAGAGUCUGAACCAGCCAAGUAGCGUGAAGGAUGACUGCCCUAUGGGUUGUAACAUUCUUUUAUAUGGGAAUAAAAUGUUCCAAGUGUGGGAUUUUGUAUGUAACAUAUGAAUAAGGCUCGGCUAACUCCGUGCCAGCAGCAGCGGGAAUACGGAGGAUCCGAAGGUUAUCCGGAUUUAUUGGGUUUAAAUGGGGCGUAGGUGGAUUGUUAAGUCAGUUGUGGAAGUUUACGGCUCAACCGUAAAAUUGCAGUUGAAACUGGCAGUCUUGAGUACAGUAGAGGUGGGCGGAAUUCGUGGUGUAGCGGUGAAAUGCUUAGAUAUCACGAAGAACUCCGAUUGCGAAGGCAGCUCACUGGACUGCAACUGACACUGAGGCUCGAAAGUGUGGGUAUCAAACAGGAUUAGAUACCCUUGUAGUC